Long non-coding RNA from Heterocephalus glaber (naked mole-rat), 4562 nucleotides. RefSeq lists it as uncharacterized. The record is from RefSeq and is a predicted model, not a curated record. Lineage: Eukaryota; Metazoa; Chordata; Mammalia; Rodentia; Bathyergidae.
CUCUGCACAGGUGCACAUGGACUUCUCGCGAGAACUUGAGCAGGUUUUCCAGAGGAUGGCCCAGCUAGAUCGGACGACAGCUAGAUCGGACGACAGCCAGAGGCAAGGGGAUUGAACUCAAGACCUUGCACUUCCGAAGCAGCAAGUUCUCUGGCAAGAUAACACUAGCCUCAAUGGGUUCUGGGGAGAGGAGGAGGAGAAAGAGGAAUCAGAGCCACUCAGAAGAAUCUGAACUGAGCAGUGGUAGACCGAGCUGGAUACACUUUGUCUCUGCAAACACCCAUCACAGCUAAUGAGAUGGAAAUGCAAUGGGAAAUGAACCACACUUUUUAAAACCUUCUUUUCCAAUUUCAUUGACUAUGAAAAUUUGCAGGAAACCUUCAGAGAUGAGAAGGGAGAUGGUGAAAGCAAACCAGACCAGAAUACAAAAUAACUUCAUUCACAUCAGAAAUCACUGGCAGGAUUUUGCUGUUACACACAAUCUGUUAGUUGGUUGAAUGGAGGACAGCCUGGUCAGAGUGGGGUCAACUGUGCCAAAAGAAGACAACAGUCAUCAGUUCCCUUUUUCUCCGGGCAGAAACCAGGACGUGACAUUAUCCAUGCGAGCAAGGCAAGGGUUUAAUGGCUUUGUAUUUGCAUAAUGACUUUCCCUUAGUGCUUUUGCUGUCCUGACUAAUUGCUUUAGAAUCUUCUGCUACAUCUGUUGGGUUUUAACACUUUUGUUGUUGUUGUUGUUGCUGAGGAUGGAACCCAGGGCCUUGUGCAACAUCCCCAGCUGUCCUGUUACUGGAUGAGGGGUUCCAUGGGCUCCUUUCCUGGUCCUUAGUGUUCUGGACAAAGAACUGGACAAGACACACAAAAAGGGCAGCAAGGAUAUACAGUCAUUGAAGGCAGAAAGGAGCGGGCAGACUUUAGUAUCAGAGAUACCUGGGCUGGUCUCCACCUCAUGUAAAGAAGGCCCUGAGAUACCUGUCCUAUCAAAAACUCAUUUGAGCUGGGCAUGGUGGCUCAUACCUGUAAUCCCAGCACUUGGGAGGCUGUGGCAGGAUGACUGCUGCAUGUUCAAGGCCAUCCUGGGCUACACAGUGAGUUUAAGGCCAGGUUGCACUAUGUAGCAAGACCCUAUCUCAAAAAAAAAAAAAAAGUAGCACACCAAAACAACAACAAUAAACCCCUCACUUGAUAUAAACUGUCAUUUCAAAAAGUUCACUCAGCCUCUCAGCACAGGUAAAUGAAAGAUCAGAAACAUCUUUGGUGCUCCCCUCCCUCACCCCCUUUUCUCUCGUGACAGCAUCUCCGCUAAGUGGCCAGGCUGGACUUGAACUUGAGAUCCUCCCACUGAAGCCUCCGGAGUAACUGGGAUUACAGCCAUGUGUCUUCUAAUAAAAUCAAAAUCUUCAAGCCCAGCCAUGUCCCAGGCCACCUAUAUAAAAUUUUGGAACAUGGGUUGUAAGAAACAGAAUUCCUAGGAUUUUCCUGGUGACAUAUAUGAUGUUCUAUCAGGAAGAAGGUCAUAACCCAGGAAGCGCCUGGUUUCACAGGGCUGUGAUCCCAGCUGCUCAGGAGGUGAAUUCAGAACUGCAAAUUUGAUCUCACCUGGGCAAUUCAGGGAGACUCUGUCUCAAAAGUCAGGGGCCAGGGAUUUGGCUCAGUGGUGUCGGUGCCUGCCUGGCAAGCACAAGGUCCUGAGUUUGAUCCCCAUACCAAAAAAAAAAGUUAGAGUGUGUGGAGGGGCGGGGCACUCAGGGCUUCCUGAUGCAGUCUCCAGUAGCAGAGGAGGCAGUUGGACACUUCUGCUCCUGCAUGCUGUGUACUCACCGGAUUGAGGCAGGAGGGGGGAAAUAAACUAGGUAGAGAAGAGACAAAGAAAACCAUAAUUGGAUUGAGGCAGGAGGGGGGAAAUAAGCUAGGUAGAGAAGAGACAAAGAAAACCAUAAUUUCAAAAGAGUGCUUUUAAAAAGACUGCAACUUCAGGACACAAAGCUACCCAUGGUUUUGCAUAUCUGCAUGACAGAGGUUUGCUUAUACUUCUUAGGCUUUUUUCCCUCCUCACCCCAAAUCCCUAAAAGAUAUUAUAAAUCUAUAAAUUACCUUAAUUAAUAAGGUAAGGGACAGAAAUCUGGCCUUAAGACAGAGAAACUGAUUCAAAGGUUUCAAAGAAUAUUUUUUAGGCAAAAUAUCUUAGAUCACUCUUCUUCAAAUUAAAAACAAACAAAACCAAUAGGGUGGGUACCUUUCUCCUGUGAAAUAGGACAUUCUUUCAUUUGUAAAAUGAGCCUUUAUCUUUAUUUUGAUUGUUUUUUGAGACAGGGUCUCCCUGUGUGGUUCAGGAUGGCCUUGAACUCACUAUGUAACCCAGCUGGUCUUGAAUUUAUGGCAAUUCUCCUGCCUGAGCCUCCUUACUGCUGUUUAACCUGUGGGUUGGCCUUCACUUUUCUUGUGUAAACCAGUAGUUCUCUUAACCUUUUUUGUAUUUCCCACCCUUUUUCUCUCCUUGUUUCAAUUUAGAUUUCUUCUGACUUGCGCUUCUUAUCUGGCUUUUUGUUUUAUUUUGUUUUGGUUUGGUUUCUGGUUUUUUGAGCCUGAGUCUUAGUAUCGUAGCCCAUUCUGGCCUCAAACUCACUAUGUAGCCCAGGCUGGCUAGAACUCAUGGCAGUCCUCCUGCCUCAGCCUCCCAAGUGCUGGGAUUACAUGUGUGUGCCACCAAGCCCAGCUCACUGAUGCCUCUCAAAAACUUUUUUCUAUGACAGAAGUCAGUGAACCCAAAACCUCCCCAGUGGGUGAGGUGAGUACUGGCUCCUCAUCUCCAUUUGAGAACCCUCCUCAGACCCUGUCGGGUGACAGGAUGAGCUUGAACAAAACCCUGUUCCUUCACACCUUACUAGCAGUGCCUUCCUGCCAAUAGAGUCCUAACUCUACAAGUCACACUGUCCUCAAAUUACCUCAAACAACCCUGACAGUUGUCCCAGACUUUUGCAAAAGAGGACCCUGGUCUCACACUUGAAAAGUCGCACUAAUUCUGGUCUUUUCCACUUGUGGAUUUGCUUGGUCUCUGUGAUCACCGUCUAGAGCCCUUGAUGCCCUCAUCAGCUGGGUUGAGCUCCUAUGCCAUGACUGAUAACUGCUCCUAUUAGGUGCUUGUCUUCGUUUCUUUCUUCGUCACUGAGACGCAAUAUCCAACACUCACAACUUAAAGGAGGAAAGGUUUAUUUUGGCUCACAGUUUGUAGAGGUUCAGUCCAUAGACAGCUGGCUCCAAGGCAGGGUGGUGUCGCAAAGGGGCGUGGUGGCAGGAAGCAGUGCAGGGUUCAAGGGAGGAGGAGGGACAUGUGUACAGCCUUCCAGGCCACUCCCACGGUGACCACCUCCUCCAAUCCAUUCUCCUCCCAACAUCGCAUUCAGCUAUAAAUUCAUCAGUGGCCUAAUCCAUUAAUGAGUAUCACACCCUCAGGAUCCAAUCUAAUGACCAUAUGAGGCUUGGUGGGGACAUCUAGAUAUAAACCGUUACAGUGGAGCUGGGGGCAAGACACCAUGGUAAGGUGGAAGUCAAAAGGACUACAGUCAGUAGAUCUUGAGCUGGGGUUGGUGGUGCAGUCCUGUCAUCCCAGCACUCAGGAGGCUGAAGCAAGAAGAUCAUCUCAAGGUUGAGGCCAGCCUGAGUGACAUAGUGCAAGGCCCGCCUGGCCUACAUACCAAGACUCUGUCUCAAAAAACCAAAAAAAGUGCUUACUUCGGCAGCACAUAUACUAAAAAACCAAAACAAAACAAAAUUGGUAGAUCUGUAUUCCAAACUUGGUUGGCUACUGACAAUUUCUCUAACCUUGGACACUUAGUUGUAAGUCAUUUCAUAAUCAGAGAGUAGUAAGAAAUAGCUUUCAGGUGAGCUUAAUAUAUCCCAGGGCCUAUAGAAAACACCAUACACAUUUCAAUUUGUAUGUAUGUAAUGUUUGAAAUAAAAUAAAUUAAAUAAUUCUCAUUCCCUCAAUGAAGAUUAAGGCAUCAACUUUUAUUCUUACAGCUUUUCUUCUCCCUCUCUCUCUCCCUCCCUCCCUCGCUCUCUCUCUCUCUCUCUCUCUCUCUCUCUCUCUCUCUCUCUCUCUCUCCCCCCUAGAACAAAUAAAUACAUUUAUCUCUAUUGGGUCUAUAAAAUGCUCAGAGAAACUUAAAAUCUUCAAGGAUUUAAUUUUAGGCAACAAAAUAUAAAACACGGUUAAUAUCAUUCCUGGAAACUUCUCAGAAUAGCGAAGAUUUCCUCACAUAAAUCAAUGGCUUACUUCUUAUUGCAGAAGAAUUCCAGUAAACACAAAUGAGGACAGCAUCUUCAAGAGUCAGAAUAUGGUUUGACCUAUGACCGAAUACAGUUCAAUUUUGUUUCACUUUUAAAAAGAGAGAGACCGUCAUUGAAAACUUAGUGGAACAAUCAGAAGCUUAGCCAGACUAGAUCAAGGGAUAUUGAAUAUUGUCUCCAAAAUUAAGUGUGGUUUUGUUUUUCAUCUGCCCAGCAAAUCAAUGUUGUCAUGGUUGCAUGAAAUGGAGAAAUAAAAUUAACCUUUGAAAAUCAAA